RNAcentral lists this ribosomal RNA (459 nucleotides) under uncultured bacterium. RNAcentral describes it as "partial 16S ribosomal RNA". It matches the Rfam family "Bacterial small subunit ribosomal RNA", at positions 338 to 795 of the family's 1533-position model. The record is from RNAcentral.
CCUACGGGCGGCUGCAGUGAGGAAUAUUGGUCAAUGGGCGGGAGCCUGAACCAGCCAAGCCGCGUGAGGGAAGAAGGUACAGCGUAUCGUAAACCUCUUUUGUCAGGGAACAAAGGCGGGGACUAGUCCCCGGAUGAGGGUACCUGAAGAAAAAGCAUCGGCUAACUCGGUGCCAGCAGCCGCGGUAAUACGGAGGAUGCGAGCGUUAUCCGGAUUUAUGGGGGUUAAAGGGUGCGCAGGCGGCCUGUUAAGUCAGCGGUAAAAGCCCGGGGCUCAACCCUGGCGAGCCGUUGAAACUGGGGAGCUGGAGUGGGAGAGAGGUACGCGGAAUGCGCGGUGUAGCGGUGAAAUGCUUAGAUAUCGCGCAGAACCCCGAUUGCGAAGGCAGCGUACCGGCUCCACACUGACGCUGAGGCACGAAAGCGUGGGUAUCGAACAGGAUUAGAUACCCCUGUAGUC